UACGAAGGGGGCUAGCGUUGUUCGGAAUUACUGGGCGUAAAGCGCAUGUAGGCGGACAUUUAAGUCAGGGGUGAAAUCCCAGAGCUCAACUCUGGAACUGCCUUUGAUACUGGGUGUCUUGAGUAUGGAAGAGGUGAGUGGAAUUCCGAGUGUAGAGGUGAAAUUCGUAGAUAUUCGGAGGAACACCAGUGGCGAAGGCGGCUCACUGGUCCAUUACUGACGCUGAGGUGCGAAAGCGUGGGGAGCAAACAGG
RNAcentral lists this ribosomal RNA (253 nucleotides) under uncultured bacterium. RNAcentral's name for it is "partial 16S ribosomal RNA". It matches the Rfam family "Bacterial small subunit ribosomal RNA", at positions 524 to 776 of the family's 1533-position model. The record is from RNAcentral.